RNAcentral lists this transfer RNA (56 nucleotides) under Diximermis spiculatus. RNAcentral describes it as "tRNA-Asp". Lineage: Eukaryota; Metazoa; Nematoda; Enoplea; Mermithida; Mermithidae. The record is from RNAcentral.
UUUUAUUUAGUGUAAAAAAGCACAUAUUUUUGUCAAAAAUAAAGAUUUAAUAAAAU